This is an RNA transcript of Cynara cardunculus var. scolymus (artichoke), 4251 nucleotides long. It is a transcript of the gene named disease resistance protein RML1A-like, with no coding region annotated. The record is from RefSeq and is a predicted model, not a curated record. Lineage: Eukaryota; Viridiplantae; Streptophyta; Magnoliopsida; Asterales; Asteraceae. The transcript is spliced from 14 exons.
AUCAUGGCCUCUUCUAGCACAAAUGGUAGCAUCUAUGACGUAUUUCUAAGCUUCAGAGGCGAAGAUACUCGUAAUGCUUUUACUGAUCAUCUUUAUGAGGCGUUAGUGCGAGCAGGACUUCGUAUUUUCAGGGAUGAUGAUGAACUCGACAGAGGUCAAGAACUGAAGCCGAACAUCAAGAAGGCAAUCAAAGAGUCUAGGGCGUCGAUAGUUGUAUUGUCCGAGAACUAUGCAACCUCCACUUGGUGCCUUGACGAGCUUCUGUUGAUACUCGAGCAAAGGAGGGAGUACAAUCAAUUCGUUCUACCUGUUUUCUAUCACGUCGAUCCUUCGGAUGUUAGGAAACAAAGUAAGACUUUCAAGAUAAACGUCAAAACUUAUUCAAGGUGGACAGAAGACAACGUCAACAAGUGGAAGGUUGCCCUUACGAACAUCGCCGAUUUGACGGGUCUAGUUCUUACUGGGCCCGAAACAACAUUUUUGAAGAAAAUUGUUGAUACUAUUUAUAAAGAAUUAGAUUGCAAAGAAGUUCAUAUUCCAUCAAAUCUUAUAGGGAUGGUUGCUCGACGUGAGGAGAUCAAUUCUUGGUUAGAUAAACACAGGCUCGAAUUUUUAGCAAUUUGUGGUAUGGGUGGAAGUGGCAAGACAACUCUAGCCAAGUAUAUUUACGAUUCAAAUUGUAAAAAAUUUGAAAAUACAAGUUUUCUUGAAGACAUUGGUACCAAAUGUGAACGACCCAAUGGUUUGCUUGAGCUACAAGAACAACUUCUCGAAGAUAUUUUAGGGGGCAAGAAGACAAAACUACAUGGUGUUUCUCAAGGUACUCGUAAGAUUGCAAAGGCCUUAGAAACAAAAAGGAUACUUAUUGUUCUGGAUGACAUGGUUGAACAUAGCCAGUUAGUCGCUCUACUUGGAAAUGACAAAAUCAAUGCACGAAGCAAGAUCAUAAUAACCACCAGGGAAAACACAGAAAAUUGGUUUAAGUUCACAACUUGGAGGUGUCAAAAUUAUAGAAUGGUAUUGCUGAAUGAUGGUGAAUCAUUAGAGCUUUUAAGUCUUCAUUCUUUUGGUUCCAAAAGUCCCAUGGAAGCUUUUAACGAGCUUGCAAUGCAAGCAGUACGGUAUUGUGAAGGAAAUCCACUGGCUCUUAAAGUGUUGGCUUCCUCUUUAUCCAUUAAGAAUACCGUCUUACAUUGGAGAAGUCAAUUGAAUUUGUUGGAAAGAGAUGGUGAUGAUGGAAUUCAAGGUGUACUAAUAAGGAGCUACAUGUCAUUGCCAUCUGACUCAGAGAAAGAGUUGUUUUUGCAUAUUGCUUGUUUCUUCAUAGGAGAAGAUAUGGAUUAUGUGGAAAAGAUAUUGGAGCCUGAUUACAGUGCAAUAUGUGGGAUCAAAACCCUAAUGAACAGAUACCUUCUUUCUGUUUCAUCAAACAAACAAUUGAUGAUGCAUCGGUUGCUUCAAGAGAUGGGGAAAAACAUAGUCCGUCAGGAAUCAAGCAAACGCCCUGAAAAACGUAGUAGAAUCUGGCUUAACAGUGAUUCUUAUAAGAUAUUGCGCAAAGGAAAGGGUUCAAAAACAAUUGAAGGUCUGGCCCUUGACAUGCAAACGCUGAGGAAAGAGGACAUAUUCAAGUCAUUUGACCUCAAGACUGAUGCACUACAAAAUAUGGAUAAACUAAAAUUGCUCCAGCUAAAAUUUGUGGAACUCACUGGAUCCUAUGAGAAAUUUUCAGAAGAUCUAAGAUGGCUAUGUUGGUUUGGAUUCCAUUCAAGAACCAUACCGUCUGGCUUAUUCAUGGGGAACUUGGUGGCUUUAGAUAUGAGCUAUAGCAAGUUGGAAGUAUUUGAACCACCCAUGGUUCUUGUAUCACUCAAGAUUCUAAAUCUUAAAGACUCGUACAAUCUAUCCCAAAUCCGCAACAUCUCCCGGAUCCCUAAUCUUGAGACUUUUAUGCUCUGCCAUUGUCAGAGUCUUGUUCAUGUUUGUGAAACCAUUGGAAACCUUACGAGACUUGCUUUAUUGAACAUGACAGGAUGUGAAAACCUGUGCAAGAGGGAUAAAAAAAAUGUGCCUUCAAUGCUAACUCCUUCUACUUCUAAUUCUGGUGAAGUUACAAAAUGGUGUCCCUUUUCCUUCCCACGUUCAUUACAACGAUUAUUCCUUAAGGAUUGCAAUCUUGAUUGUAAUAAUUCUUUGAGUUUCAGUGUUCAACCAGUUUUGCAGUACUUGAAUUUAGGCAAUAGUCUAUUUGAGUCACUACCUUGUUAUGAUCAUCUUAAAGAUCUUCGUGUCCUUGACUUGAGUUUAUGCUCAAAACUCAAAGAGCUUCUAUAUCUCCCAUGUACACUUGCAGAAUUGUAUAUAUAUUACUGCAAGUCACUGGAGAAAAUAACCUUCCAAUCACAUCAAUUCACAUUACAAGAGUUCGGCUAUGAAGGUUGCAGUAACUUGUCUGAAGUUGAAGACUUUAUGAAACUAGUACCGAUAGCCAAACUACAUGAAACUGAUUUGGGACACAUGGUAUGGCUAAAGGAUUACAAAGAUCAUGAAAUGUGCCUGGUUGGUGAUGAUGAGCUCACCAUAGGCAGAAGUAGACAUGCACAGAUGUUGUAUGAAUUCAAUAUAAUGAGCACAUCUCUUCCAGACAUAAAGAAUCCAAACAUGAUGCCUGAGCAUAUAUCAGAAUCCCAAUUUUUGUCCUUCCAAGUGCCUACGUGUCCCAAGGGUAGGAGCCUCAAAGGAUUAAAUAUAACUUUCAAAUAUACAUUAUUUGGUAAGGAUUGGGCAUGGUUCGCUAAAAUCAGUACGACCAACGGAGUUGAGUUGAUGUACAAUCCCAAAGUCUUUGGCAAAAAUGAAUUUGGGGAAGUUGCUAUAUGGUUAAGUUAUUGGCCAAUUGGAAACAAACUGGACGUUGGAGAUGGGGUCAAUGUGUCUAUUGUAGUGAUAAAUGGACUGGAGAUAUGCAAUUUUGGUGUGAGCCUUGUGUAUGCUGAUGAUGAAGCAGCCAACAAGACUCUGCCAAAUAAAAUGGGAUGGGGAGAAAUUCUUGGAGGAGAUUUUUCUGGAUUUCGACUAAGCACGGGAGCAUAUUAUCUUUGCCGGCGUGAUUUCUUUGAGUUACUGGAUAGUGACAGACCACCCCCUGGUUGGUUUUGGGAUUUAGUUGGUGAUAUCAUUGACUAUACAGAGAUACAAGGAUGGAGAAAGACCGGUCGACGUAAGGAUUUGAAUCCAUUGUCUACAGAGUUGAGAACUGUUAGAUGCACCAUCCAUGAUCCAGAAUUGGAGAAAAAGAUGCCAGAGAUGUCCGAGUCAUCUUUUGUCGAUAAACCUGUAGAGUACAGAUCAACCACGCUUGGGGAGAAAAGGAAAUAUGACACUGCAUACCCAACAAUACCAAAAGUUUCUAGCUCUAUAAAAAGGGAAAUUUACAAUCCAGAGACUAUGGGCAUGUCUAAAGCAUCUGGGAGUUACAUUCCUGAGACUAUGGGCAAGUCUAAAGCAUUUGCUGCUGAUAAGCAGGCUAAUGCAAACCGGGGCUGGAAAAAGGAAAAAAGUGAGAGUUACAAUCUAGAAAAUAUGGACAUGCGUAAAGCAUCUGGGAGUUUCCAACAAGGGGAUGUGGAACUGCCUGAACUAGAUAUGUGGGCUAUGGACAUGUAUGCUGAAGAUUAUUACAAUCUAGCGUAUGUGGGCAUGGGAAAUGAUUUUGAUCCUGGUUUGGUUAUGAAGCGUACUGCAAAGCAACGGUGGAAGAAAUUGAGAUCUGUGAUCAGAUUUAUUAUGUUACUCCAAGCAAGGGACACGUACAAGUCAGACUUCAGCAUGAAUUAUUUUUGAUCCGGCGUUAAUUAUCAAAAUUGGUUAAGGCAACGAAUCUUAUGGCUUCCUGGAUUUUGUUGUCUCUGAUCAAUUCUCAUCAUCGCUUCUCAGACCAUGUGCAGUCCAUGACCUGCACUUGAUAUCUUGUUAUUUUGGCUUUGGACAUCCGACUAAAUAUUCGAGAUUGGAUUGAUCCAAUACAACCAGGAAGUGAUCUCCUCAUAUCAAAUCUCCAUCCCUGUUAGUCAGAUCGGGUGAAAAUACACUAUUUGCGAUCUAUUUCAUUGCGAAUGGUCUCAACAACUGUCUUCAAAAACUCCUCACGCGUUAUGUCAGGCCUGUAACAGCACAAGGCACAAUCCCUACUAGCCGCAAGUAAUAUGUAUCUUAGUAAACAAUAAAAUACAAGUAAGAAGAAGAAAAACA